RNAcentral lists this ribosomal RNA (253 nucleotides) under uncultured bacterium. Its description in RNAcentral is "partial 16S ribosomal RNA". It matches the Rfam family "Bacterial small subunit ribosomal RNA", at positions 524 to 776 of the family's 1533-position model. The record is from RNAcentral.
UACAGGGGGGGCAAGCGUUGUUCGGAAUUACUGGGCGUAAAGGGUCUGUAGGUGGCCAACUAAGUCAGACGUGAAAUCCCUCAGCUUAACUGGGGAACUGCGUGUGAUACUGGAUGGCUUGGAUUUGGGAGAGGGAUGCGGAAUUCCAGGUGUAGCGGUGAAAUGCGUAGAUAUCUGGAGGAACACCGGUGGCGAAGGCGGCAUCCUGGACCAAUAUUGACGCUGAGGAGCGAAAGCCAGGGGAGCAAACGGG